Molecule: long non-coding RNA, 2430 nt
Organism: Pongo pygmaeus (Bornean orangutan)
Lineage: Eukaryota; Metazoa; Chordata; Mammalia; Primates; Hominidae
Exons: 3
Source: RefSeq, a predicted model, not a curated record
AGGGGACGGCCCUCAGCCCGCUCGGGGGCCCGGACGGCGCCAGCACAGCGCCCACACAACGCCGCGCCACGGCCCCCGCUUUAGAGAAGUCCCAGGAAACGGCGAGAAAGAAGAUACACUGGAAGCAGCACCGUGAACUGUUCCCCACCUGAAGGAAGAAGCUCGUUCCCUUUUGGCUCCAGGACUAUUCGGGGUGGGCCUGCUGCCCUGAAACUGAAAGGUGACAGCCUGCUGGCAGCCCUCGCUCGCUCUCGACGCCUCCUCUGUCUGGGCACCCACUCUGGCGGCGCUUGAGGAGCCCUUCAGCCCGCUGCUGCACUGUGGGAGCCCCUUCCUGGGACGGCCGAGGCCGGAGCCGGCUCCCUCAGCUUGCGGGGAGGUGUGGAGCGAGAGGCAUGGGCGGGAACCCGGACUGCGUGCGGCGCUUGCGGGCCACCUAGAGUUCCGGGUGGGCAUGGGCUUGGCGGGCUCCACACUCCGAGCGGCCGGCCGGCCCGCCGGCCCCGGGCAGUGAGGGGCUUAGCACCGGGGCCAGCAGCUGCGGAGGGUGCGCCGGGUCCCCCAGCAGUGCCGGCCCACCGGCGCUGCGCUCGAUUUCUCGCCAGGCCUUAGCCGCCUCCUCGCCUGGCAGAGCUCCGGACUUGCAGCCCGCCAUGCCUGAGCCUCCCCCCACCCCCCUGCCGCCAUGGGCUCCUGCGCAGCCCAAGCCUCCCGGACGAGCGCCUCCCCCUGCUCCACGGCGCCCGGUCCCACCUACCGCCCAAGGGCUGAGGAGUGCGGGCGCAGGGCGCGGGACUGGUAGGCAGCACCACCUGCAGCCCUGGUGUGGGAUCCACUGGGUAAAGUCAGCUGGGCUCCUGAAUCUAGUGGAGACUUGGAGAACAUUUAUGUCUAGCUAAGGGAUUGUAAAUACACCAAUCGGCACCCUGUAUCUAGCUCAAGGUUUGUAAACACACCAAUCAGCACCCUGUGUCUAGUUCAGGGUUUAUGGAUGCACCAAUCAGUGCUCUGUAUCUAGCUAAUCUGGUGGAGACUUGGAGAAUCUUUAUAUCUAGCUAAGGGACUGUGAAUACACCACUGGGGCUGUGUAUCUAGCUCAAGGUUUGUGGAUGCACCAAUCAGCACUCUGUGUCUAGCUCAAGGUUUGUAAGUGCACCAAUCAGCGCUCUGUGUCUAGCUAGCUGAUCUGGUGGGGACUUGGAGAACCUUUAUGUCUAGCGAAGGGAUUGUGAAUACACCAAUCGCCACUCUGUAUCUAGCUCAAGGUUUGUAAAUGCACCAAUCAGCACUCUGUAUCUAGCUAAUCUAGUGGGGAUGUGGAGAACUUUUGUGUCUAGCUCAGGGAUUGUAAACGCACCAAUCAGCACCCUGCCAAAACGGACCAAUCAGCUCUCUGUAAAACAGACCAAUCGGCUCUCUGUAAAAUGGACCAAUCAUCAGGAUGUGGGUGGGGCCAGAUAAGUGAAUAAAAGCAGACUGCCCAAGCCAGUAGUGGUAGCCCACUCAAAUUCCUUUUAAUACUAAAGAAGCUGUGUUCUUUUGUUCUGUGAUAAAUCUUGCUGUUGCUCACUCUUUGGGUCUGCAUUACCUUUAUGAGCUCUAACACUAAUGGCAGAGGCCUGCAGGCUCACUCCUGAGGCCAGGGAAACCACGAGUCCACCAGAAGGAAUGAACGACCCUGGAGGCGCAGCCUUAAGAAGUGUAACACACUGCGAAAGUCUGCAGCUUCACUCCUGAACCAGCGAAACCACGAACCCGCCAGAAAGAAAAAACUCCAAACACAGCCCAACAUCAGAAGGAACAAACUCUGGACACACCGCCUUUAAGAACUGUAACACUCACCGCGAGGGUCCACAGCUUUAUUCUUGAAGUCAGUGAGACCAAGAACCCACCUAAUCCUGGACACAAAACCAGCUCAAUCUCCUAAAGACUGAAAGCCCUGGUGUGGCUGGGACCAGGGGCAAGAUGUGGAACACGUGGGGAAGAUGAGAAGGCGCUGGAGAAGGAGGGUGGUGGUCGCAGAUGGGAAUGUACUGAGGCCAGUGAGCUGUGCAGACACAAAACCCUAUCUAAUCACAAGAAAAACAGCAGACACCUCCCACCUGAGAGGAUAGCGGGCCAGGCCUCCUCAAAACUGACGGGCUCAUCAGCAACAAGGAAAGUGUGAGGAACUCUCAGCUUGGGAGGAGCCUGCGGAAACUGACUACAACCACCACUUGCAACGGGGCAUCCUCGGCGGGCUCCCAGACCAGAAAAUGACAUCAGAAGGAAAGACUGAAAAAAGGAUUCAAGAGAAAGUGAUAAUAUUGAAGACGGGAAGAAACUGUGACAUACAGAUAAUAGGAGUCCCUGAAGAAGAAAUCCAAAGUGAACAGAACACUGAAAUUUGUAAAUCAAGAAAAGUUUCCUGAAAUAAAAUAAUUUGAAACU